UACGUAGGGUACUAGCGUUGUCCGGAUUUAUUGGGUUUAAAGGGUGCGUAGGCGGACUGGUAAGUCAGCUGUGAAAGUUUACGGCUCAACCGUGAAAUUGCAGUUGAUACUGUUGGUCUUGAGUAUAGAUGAGGUGGGCGGAAUUUUUGGUGUAGCGGUGAAAUGCUUAGAUAUCACAAAGAACUCCAAUUGCGAAGGCAGCUCACUGGGGUAUAACUGACGCUGAUGCACGAAGGUGUGGGUAGCAAACAGG
RNAcentral lists this ribosomal RNA (253 nucleotides) under uncultured bacterium. RNAcentral describes it as "partial 16S ribosomal RNA". It matches the Rfam family "Bacterial small subunit ribosomal RNA", at positions 524 to 776 of the family's 1533-position model. The record is from RNAcentral.